RNAcentral lists this ribosomal RNA (46 nucleotides) under Pythium sp. longicarpum/BP-2010. Its description in RNAcentral is "partial 28S ribosomal RNA". The record is from RNAcentral. Lineage: Eukaryota; Oomycota; Peronosporomycetes; Pythiales; Pythiaceae.
UUGGAACUGAUAUUCCAGGAAGAAUAACCGCUGAACUUUAGCAUUA